RNAcentral lists this ribosomal RNA (254 nucleotides) under uncultured bacterium. RNAcentral's name for it is "partial 16S ribosomal RNA". It matches the Rfam family "Bacterial small subunit ribosomal RNA", at positions 524 to 777 of the family's 1533-position model. The record is from RNAcentral.
UACGGAGGGUGCAAGCGUUAUCCGGAUUCACUGGGUUUAAAGGGUGCGUAGGCGGGUUGGUAAGUCCGUGGUGAAAUCUCCGAGCUUAACUCGGAAACUGCCGUGGAUACUAUCAAUCUUGAAUAUCGUGGAGGUAAGCGGAAUAUGUCAUGUAGCGGUGAAAUGCUUAGAUAUGACAUAGAACACCAAUUGCGUAGGCAGCUUACUACACGAUCAUUGACGCUGAGGCACGAAAGCGUGGGGAGCAAACAGGG